RNAcentral lists this ribosomal RNA (478 nucleotides) under uncultured organism. RNAcentral's name for it is "partial 16S ribosomal RNA". It matches the Rfam family "Bacterial small subunit ribosomal RNA", at positions 332 to 801 of the family's 1533-position model. The record is from RNAcentral.
UACACUCCUGCGGGAGGCAGCAGUGGGGAAUUUUGGACAAUGGGCGAAAGCCUGAUCCAGCAAUGCCGCGUGAGUGAAGAAGGCCUUCGGGUUGUAAAGCUCUUUUGUCAGGGAAGAAACGGUGAAAGCUAAUAUCUUUUGCUAAUGACGGUACCUGAAGAAUAAGCACCGGCUAACUACGUGCCAGCAGCCGCGGUAAUACGUAGGGUGCAAGCGUUAAUCGGAAUUACUGGGCGUAAAGCGUGCGCAGGCGGUUUUGUAAGUCUGAUGUGAAAUCCCCGGGCUCAACCUGGGAAUUGCAUUGGGGACUGCAAGGCUAGAAUCUGGCAGAGGGGGGUAGAAUUCCACGUGUAGCAGGGAAAUGCGUAGAUAUGUGGAGGAACACCGAUGGCGAAGGCAGCCCCCUGGGUCAAGAUUGACGCUCAUGCACGAAAGCGUGGGGAGCAAACAGGAUUAGAUACCCUUGUAGUCCCAUGAU